CCUACGGGAGGCAGCAGUGAGGAAUAUUGGUCAAUGGACGAGAGUCUGAACCAGCCAAGUAGCGUGAAGGAUGACUGCCCUAUGGGUUGUAAACUUCUUUUAUAUGGGAAUAAAACGUUCCACGUGUGGGAUUUUGUAUGUACCAUAUGAAUAAGGAUCGGCUAACUCCGUGCCAGCAGCCGCGGUAAUACGGAGGAUCCGAGCGUUAUCCGGAUUUAUUGGGUUUAAAGGGAGCGUAGGUGGAUUGUUAAGUCAGUUGUGAAAGUUUGCGGCUCAACCGUAAAAUUGCAGUUGAAACUGGCAGUCUUGAGUACAGUAGAGGUGGGCGGAAUUCGUGGUGUAGCGGUGAAAUGCUUAGAUAUCGCGAAGAACUCCGAUUGCGAAGGCAGUUCACUGGACUGCAACUGACACUGAGGCUCGAAAGUGUGGGUAUCAAACAGGAUUAGAUACCCUAGUAGUC
RNAcentral lists this ribosomal RNA (460 nucleotides) under uncultured bacterium. Its description in RNAcentral is "partial 16S ribosomal RNA". It matches the Rfam family "Bacterial small subunit ribosomal RNA", at positions 338 to 795 of the family's 1533-position model. The record is from RNAcentral.